This 76-nucleotide transfer RNA is filed under the name Perkinsus olseni. RNAcentral describes it as "tRNA-Thr". The record is from RNAcentral. Lineage: Eukaryota; Perkinsozoa; Perkinsida; Perkinsidae.
GCGUUUUGGACAACCCUGGUGGUAGAGCGUCUGCUUCGUAAGCAGAAGAUCGUCAGUUCAAUCCUGUCAAGUGGCU